Centropristis striata (black sea bass) is the source of this 163-nucleotide long non-coding RNA. RefSeq lists it as uncharacterized. The record is from RefSeq and is a predicted model, not a curated record. The transcript has 3 exons. Lineage: Eukaryota; Metazoa; Chordata; Actinopteri; Perciformes; Serranidae.
UACGCUGACCUCAUCUACAGAGGACUGGAUACAGCAUUGGAGCAAUGAUGUCAACCAGCUCCAUCUUAAAAAAUGAUCGUGUCAAGGACAGCGCCCCACCUAAAAGCUGAUCUGACUCUGACUAAGGAGUAGCAACCAAAGCUCCAGUACCUUGCUAGACAGC